Ctenopharyngodon idella (grass carp) is the source of this 5651-nucleotide long non-coding RNA. RefSeq lists it as uncharacterized. The record is from RefSeq and is a predicted model, not a curated record. The transcript has 2 exons. Lineage: Eukaryota; Metazoa; Chordata; Actinopteri; Cypriniformes; Xenocyprididae.
CACUGAAAGCUCCGGUAUAUGUGGGCUGGGUGAGAUCCUUGGGCACUUUCCUGUAGAUAUCGAACCUGGAAGGAAGAGAAAGAGAGGAAUAGGGGAAGAAAAGAAAGAAAAGAAACAAUCCUCGGUUUGUUUGAGACGACACCAAGAAAGAAGCGAAGGUCCGUGUGUAAUAUAAGCCCCUUCAGGAAUGCGUCCAAUCCCUGACUUUUUAAGGAGCUCCCAAACAAAGUCAAACUAUCCAGCCCAGAGUCUUGUGCCCUUUUUCGGCUCUGAAACCUUCACGGCUACAUCACCGCUCAGGUCCAACCCUCUGCCCUCAAAAACACAUCUGUGAACAUUUCUAGCAGUGAAAUGACCCGAGUUGACGCAAUGCUGGAGGGGGGAGAGGGGCUGACUUCCUGUCGAAGCAGACGCCCUGCUGUUUCUCUGCUUCACACCAACCAUACAGUUCACCAUGUUCUGAAAGAAGCGCUCACAGGAUGUAGAAGGUAAAGCUAUUGUGUGAAACCCAGAAGGACACGCUGUUCUUAAACCGCACUGACGUCUUCACUUACAGUACUGUGUAAGACCUGAAGUAGUACUAAAGAGUACAGAGUGGCCCCAAAGUAUUUGGACACUCACACUGCUUAAGGCCCAGUACAAAUGUUUAUCCUUUUUUUUCUUUCUAAAAAUUGCACGUUUCUGUAUGAAUCACAUUUUAUGACACAUCAAACGAAAUCGCCACCUCAUUUUCUCAUGAGAUCAGGUUGGAUUGUCUCAGAACUCAUAUUACCAUAACUGUAAACAGAGUCUAAAUUCAAUUUUUAGAUAACUUCAAGAACAAAAAUCUUAAAGGUUUCAAAUGGGGGGUUUUGUGGCGAUGCCUCAGAAGAACCAUUUUUCUUCCCCAAAGAACUUUUGAACGAUUGAAAGGUUAUAUGAAUGUCUUUAUCUGAAAACCCUUUCAGUCUACAUACAGUACCGUAUUAUUUAUCUCUCUACUUAUAUGUGCAAGGAAAACAUGCACAAAAGCAUGUUUUGCGUCUUGGAUUUCCUCAGCUGGAUUACCUCUGGUUCUCAGUACAGUUCAAAGGCGUUCAGCACACACACACAAGUGUGGAUUAGGCCAAACGCACGCUUUUCAGCGCAUUGCAUAACAGCCGUAACAUUUACACGUUCCCUCAGGCUGUGGAGGAGUUCACUGCUCGGAUAUAUCUGCCAGAUAUUUCAUAUUUCCUGCGUUACAACAGCAACAAACACCCACAGCUGCUCUGCGAGGCAAUACGUCAGAGUCCAAAACAGGCACAAGACUGUCCCACAGCAACACAGCCAUGUGUUUAUCAUACAACACUGCACAAGUGUUUCUUAAGAAGAGUCUGAAUGUACAGUGUGCAAUGUUUGGAUUCGAUGUUGACUACAUUUGUUUUACGAUUAAUCCAUUAUCAAAUUCGCUUAUCGAUUAUUUUACAGAUUUUAUUGAUUCGCUUGGAAAGCCAGCUGUGAGGUCAGCUGGCUGUAAUGGCCUGUGGUAUAUUGUGUGUCACACCGCAGGAGGUUUACGAGUCUAUUCUCAGGCAAACGCCACCAUUCUCUGCGUCUUUCUGAAGAGGAAGUGAUGUUUUAUUUCAGGCUUGUUUGUCACUUUCAUUGGUGUAUCAGAUAAGUCAACAGAUGACCUAAAAGGAAGCGUGAUUGUAAACAAGGAAACAAGGCUGUGUUGUCGCCUGAGCAACCAAUAUUUGGGUCAAUGACGUGACGGGUCAUGUUUUUGUCCAAAGGCCUUAAUAAUAAUUAAAAACAAAGAUAUGACAUCCAAAAUAUGUAAGGUGGUACAACUAGACCUGUUUUAUUGACUUUAAAAGGUUUUAAUUAUAUUUUGAUACAUAUAAAAGGUAUUUUAAAGUGUCAAAAGGUCAUUCGGUUUAACCGUCCAACUGUUCAUUUGUGAUUAAAAUAUCUUAAAACUGUAAUAAAUGUAUAUAUUAUUUAAUCUGGCAUGAUUUUAUAACAUCAUAUAUCAACAUAGUAUUAAAAUUAUGUGUAGAAGUCGUUGCUUUGUUAUGAGAAAGAAUGUCCGGAAAAAUGAAUUUCAUUGAUGUCAUUCGGAGUAACCAAUAUAAAGGGACCAUUUUGGAUCAAGUCAUGCGGUCAAUAUCAUGUGACAGGACGUGACAUCAUUCAGACACCUGCAAAGGACCAUAUGGUCGUGAAGCAAAGUAACUAACUCUCUCUUAACUAUUUGACAAAUUCAUGUUUUCACUUGAUCAUACGCAUGUCCCGAAACAUCAGGUCAUUCGGUACAACCGCUAUAAAACAUGGAAAAUGUUGUAAUAUUUUUAAAACUUGUACUAAAUAUAAAAUGUAUGAUUGUCCUUUUGUUAGCUAGCUAGAUAUCAGCCUGUUAGCAUUGUUUGAAAAUAUCGUCAUUCGGUAUAACCAAAAGUGUCAUUCGGUAAAACCGAAAUUUUGGUUAAACCGAAUGACUUCUUUGGUGACAAAUCUUGUAAAAAAUGAUAAAAGCAGUGUUAACUGAUUAUAAAAACCACAUAAUCUCAUUGUUAACACUUAAUAAAACUUAAAAAUUAAUUAUAUCUCCAUUAUGUUUUUUUUUUUUACACUUUUAAAAAACAUGAUGCAAUAUUACAACACCCGCAGUCCUACAUCUGCACAUGCUCUGUGUGACUCUGUUGAAAGCCAGCCAAAGACAAAAACACUGGAUGUUACAAGUUUCAAAUUACAACUGCCUAAAUAGCUGAAAAAAUAGGUUGAAACUUUACCAGCCUCAGAACGUCCAGAGCAAACAAAGACAGGAAACACUCCAUUCAAUCAGAAUCUGUCUACAGUCAGAUUACAGUCUCAAGAGAAACUAGAUCAUUAUGAGGAUAGACUUUUUUUAUUACACAUUAAUUUUCAGCCUGAUUUUCAGCCUGUUUCCUUUGAAUCCUGUAAAGCCAUUGUUGAAAGUCUAAGAUCAACUUCAUUUUCUCUAGAUAUCAUUCCAUCUAGAUUUCUAAAACAGACACUAAACACUAUCUUUAACACUAGUCUGGGGUUGUUCCUGACUGCCUAAAAACAGCUACAGUAACUCCAUUAUUAAAGAGGCCCAAUCUUGAUUCUUCGAACUUUAAUAACUUUAGGCCUAUAUCAAACUUGUCAUUUCUCUCUAAGAUUCUUGAGAAAAUUGUUUUGACCCAGCUGCAGUCCCAUUUGACGUCAAAUAAUAUUCCUGAAAAAUUUCAGUCGGGUUUUAAGCUCUGUAUUUGAUAUAGUUGACCGCAACAUUUUGAUUUCCAGGUUGGAGAGCUGUGUUGGACUACAGGGAAAGGUAUUGAAUUGGUUUCAAUCUUUUUUUUAACUAACAGAAGCUUUAAUGUUUCUAUUGGCCAACAUAGUUCAUCCUCACACCCACUUGCUUGUGGGGUGCCACAGGGCUCAAUUCUUGCUCCAAUUUUAUUUUCUAUAUUCAUGCUGCCAAUGGGUGCUAUCUUUGAGAAAUUUGGAGUGUCAUUCCACCUUUAUGCGGACGAUACUCAGAUGUAUUUUCCCUUGCAGCAUAAAAGUAAAGAUUUUUUAGGACCUCUGUUGAAUUGUCUAAACGAAUUACAAAAAUGGUUAAAGCAGAAUCUCUUAGUGUUAAACGAGAACAAAACCGAAAUCAUUCUGUUUGGUGCAAAGACUGUGCCCUUCAUUUUGGUCAUCUGUCUUCCUACCUUACACCUCGUGCCAAAAAUCAUGGUGUUCUUUUUGAUUGCAACCUGGGUUUUGAGAAACAAAUUAGCGCAGUGGUCAAAUCAUGUUUUUUCCACUUACGGCGUUUAUCAAAAAUCAACAGUUAUUCACUUGUUUGUUCUAUCUCGUCUAGAUUACUGUAAUUCACUUUACUAUGGUAUGAGUCAGUCUUCUACAGUGCGCUUACAGAUGGUCCAAAAUGCUGCUGCAAGAUUGAUUUCAGGCAGACGAAAGUUCGACCACAUCUCGCCCAUUCUUAUUUCACUAAACUGGUUACCAGUUAAAUUUAGAAUUAUUUUUAAAAUUUUAAUUUUUGUUUACAAAUCCUUGCACAAUCAAGCCCCACCAAUCUCUAUUUAUAAACCAAAUAGGUCCCUAAGAUCCAGUAAUCUUGGUCUCCUCACUGCUCCACGGUUUCAUUUCAGAGGUGAUCGAGCCUUCGCUGUUGCUGGUCCUAGUCUAUGGAACAAUUUACCAGCUUCUAUUACAGCUGCGCCUUCUUUGCCCAUAUUUAAAUGCCGGCUUAAAAAUCAUUUUAUGUCAAUAGCUUUUAUCUAGCCAUGUAAAUUGUUUUGUUUCGAUGUUUUGUUGUCUCUUAUUUAUUUUAUUCUACCUGUAUUGUACAGCAUUUUGGAUCAACCAGUAGUUGUGUGAAAGUGCUUUAUAAAUAAAGAAAGAAAGAAAGAUUGAUAAAGCAAAAUGAAAACCAUUUGGAUUAUAUUACAGCUUCUGACAAAAAGGCUGUAUUAAAUUAGUGGUAGAAUAAAACCGAUUUAAUUCAGAUUUUUCCUCAUAUCUUGACUUUAAGUAAAGUUUAAAUAUGUGACGUAUAACAAUUAGUAGGGAUGUACCGAUAUGAACAUUUUGGCCGAUAAUUCUUUAUAAUUGAAAGCCGAUAACCGAUAUAUUGGCCGAUAAAUCUAAAUUUUUAUAUAAUUUUUGAGAGCCUGAUUACAAAAACAAAAGUUUCACCAUUAAAUCCAUGUCCCAAACACAUGAUUAUAAUGUUCUCAUUAUAAUUUUAUGUAUUUUAUAUGAUGCACAUGUUGUACUGAACUGUAUUUUCCUUUUUGAAGUGAUUUCAAAAAUAUUUCAAGCAAUUCAACACCAUCAUGGUGAACAGUGCACAUCUGAAGUGUCUCAGCUGAAGGAAAUAAUCCAUUAUUUAUCGCCUUUAAUAUAUCAGCCAAGUUUUCUUAUCGGGCCGAUAAAGAUAACAUUAAAAAUGAACAUAUAUCGGUCGAUACCGAUAUGGUGGCCGAUAUAUCGUGCAUCCCUAACAAUUACAGAUAAAUUUAACUUGGACGACUUUUAUAAAAUUUGAGCUUAGUAAGAUUUUUUUUUUAACGCUGUCAAAUCGAUUAAUCGCAUGUAACAUACACAUAUAUAUUUACAAACUUUAAUGUUAGAUGCAAUUAAUCGAUUUGACAGCACUAUUUUUAUACUUUUAUUCCGCAAAGAUGCAUGAAAUUGAUCAAAAUUUACAGUAAAUCCGGAAAAAAAAAAUCAUAAUAUUAAGUAGCAAAUCAUGAUCAUGUGACGCUGAAGACUGGAGUAAUGAUGCUGAAAAUUCAGCUUUGAUCACAGGAAUAAAUUACAGUUUAAAAUAUAUUCACAUAGAAAACAGCUAUAUUAAAUUUUUAUAGUAUAGUUUUUGGUCAAAUAAAUGCAGCCUUGGCGAGCCAAAAUAAUAAAAACCUUUUGUACGGUAUAAUAUUUCUGGAAAUCAAAACUAUUAAUCGUAUUUUUGUGUAUGUGUGUGUUGAUUUGUCCUCUAUAACUCCAGCACAAAAACACGUCGUGAUAACAACAUUUACAUUUAAACUACUAAAAAAGACAUAGUAAAGGUUAGUUGCACGCACCCUGAUCUACAGAAAUGCUUUCUCUUAAUUCUGUGUGUAUAAAACCAUUCAGCGUGUACAUUACUGAUUCACUGUGAAUCU